UACAGAGGGGGCAAGCGUUGUUCGGAAUUACUGGGCGUAAAGGGCGCGUAGGCGGCCCACUAAGUCGAACGUGAAAUCCCUGGGCUCAACCCAGGAACUGCGUCCGAUACUGGCAGGCUUGAAUCCGGGAGAGGGAUGCGGAAUUCCAGGUGUAGCGGUGAAAUGCGUAGAUAUCUGGAGGAACACCGGUGGCGAAGGCGGCAUCCUGGACCGGUAUUGACGCUGAGGCGCGAAAGCCAGGGGAGCAAACGGG
Molecule: ribosomal RNA, 253 nt
Filed under: uncultured bacterium
Lineage: Bacteria
Description: partial 16S ribosomal RNA
Rfam family: Bacterial small subunit ribosomal RNA
Source: RNAcentral